CACUUCGCAACGUGGGAAACCACGACGAGGGAAUCCCUAGUGUACGCACUAAGUGCGUACUGUUUCUCUGUCUAAAAAGCAGGGAGAGUAAGGGCUGGGUAAGACGGGUGCCAGCCGCCGCGGUAAUACCCGCAGCCCAAGUGGUGCUCGUUAUUAUUGGGCCUAAAACGUCCGUAGCCGGCCUUGUAAAUCCAUGUGGAAAUCGGAGGGCCUAACCCUCCGAAGGGCGUGGACACUGCAAGGCUUGGGACUGGGUGAGUUCGGAGGUACUUCCGGGGUAGGGGUGAAAUCCUGUAAUCCUGGGAGGACCACCAGUGGCGAAGGCGUCCGAAUAGAACGGAUCCGACGGUCAGGGACGAAGCCCUGGGGCGCAAACGGGAUUAGAUACCCCGGUAGUCCAGGGUGUAAACGCUGUGGUCUUGGUGUUGGGGGUCCUACGAGGGCACCCAGUGCCGGAGAGAAGUUGUUAAGACUACUGCCUGGGGAGUACGGUCGCAAGACUGAAACUUAA
Molecule: ribosomal RNA, 511 nt
Filed under: uncultured archaeon
Lineage: Archaea
Description: bacterial SSU rRNA
Rfam family: Archaeal small subunit ribosomal RNA
Source: RNAcentral